GUCUACGGCCAUGCUACCCUGAACAAGCCUGAUCCUGUCUGAUCUCGGAAGCUAAGCAAGGUCGGGCCUGGUUAGUACCUGGAUGGGAGACCAGGUGCUGUAGACG
Molecule: ribosomal RNA, 106 nt
Filed under: Pteropus alecto (black flying fox)
Lineage: Eukaryota; Metazoa; Chordata; Mammalia; Chiroptera; Pteropodidae
Source: RNAcentral